CUUUGGGGUGUGACUGCGUACCUUUUGUAUAAUGGGUCAGCGACUUAUAUUCUGUAGCAAGGUUAACCGAAUAGGGGAGCCGUAGGGAAACCGAGUCUUAACCGGGCGUUAAGUUGCAGGGUAUAGACCCGAAACCCGGUGAUCUAGCCAUGGGCAGGUUGAAGGUUGGGUAACACUAACUGGAGGACCGAACCGACUAAUGUUGAAAAAUUAGCGGAUGACCUGUGGCUGGGGGUGAAAGGCCAAUCAAACCGGGAGAUAGCUGGUUCUCCCCGAAAGCUAUUUAGGUAGCGCCUCGUGAAUUCAUCUCCGGGGGUAGAGCACUGUUUCGGCUAGGGGGCCAUCCCGGCUUACCAACCCGAUGCAAACUGCGAAUACCGGAGAAUGUUAUCACGGGAGACACACGGCGGGUGCUAACGUCCGUCGUGAAGAGGGAAACAACCCAGACCGCCAGCUAAGGUCCCAAAGUCAUGGUUAAGUGGGAAACGAUGUGGGAAGGCCCAGACAGCCAGGAUGUUGGCUUAGAAGCAGCCAUCAUUUAAAGAAAGCGUAAUAGCUCACUGGUCGAGUCGGCCUGCGCGGAAGAUGUAACGGGGCUAAACCAU
Molecule: ribosomal RNA, 605 nt
Filed under: Salmonella enterica
Lineage: Bacteria; Pseudomonadati; Pseudomonadota; Gammaproteobacteria; Enterobacterales; Enterobacteriaceae
Description: partial 23S ribosomal RNA
Rfam family: Bacterial large subunit ribosomal RNA
Source: RNAcentral